GAGUUUGUGAGCCGAACCGGCGUGCGCGUUGAAAAAACGUUACCGUUGUGUGUUGUGUGGUGUGGUGUGCGCGCGCGGUGUGUGUUUUUAAUAACUCUUAUCAAAUUGCAUUCGUCGGUUAUGCCGUGCACGAAAUUACGAUUCAGAUUCGUGUCGUAUGCAAAGUAUGUGUAAAUGUGCAAAGUGCCACCGGGUGGAUUAGCGAACGAGCCUAUCGACGCAACGAAUUCCCACCUGUGAACGACUGCAAGCCACAGAUAUAGCCGAACAAAACGGAAUUUUCAGUCAAUUGUGCGCGCUUACGGAUCAAACGUCGUUGAAUGCGGGCGCUCAACGCUUUGGGAAUCGACAACAAACAGGCUAAUCUUGACAAGUGCGAUUGUCAACCGUGACUUAACAUUAGCACAAUUUUAACAAACACAGUGGGACGAAAUAAAAGUCGAUAAGAUGUGAUUGUUCAGCAGAGUGCUUCCGACUUCGACUGAUAACACUACAAAUAUUGCUUUUAAAAAAUAUUUUAAGUGACUUUUUUGAUAACGCAUAAAAAUUUUUGAAUUUUAACAAUGCCCGAGGAAAAUUUCCCGCAGAAGGAACAAAACGGAGUUGACGGUGCGUUCAAAACCGCCGAUGAGGAAAGCGAACCAUGUCUGGAGGAAAAGAGUAAAGGCCGCUUGUUUUGGACGAAAACUGAACAAAAGUUGCGUGAUAAAAGCGGCCUUACUAAGCAUGGCCUAUAUUACGUCGGCGGUUUAGCACUGUUUGCUUUCCUGCUGCUGAUUGUCGUCAUUGUAUUAUCGGCGUGUUGGCCCGCCACGCCGCACCGGUUUCAAGUCUGCAACACUGAGUCAUGUCUGCGCGCAGCUACACAGGUCAGACAAUAUUUAGACGAAUCAUCUGAGCGUUGUAAUGUACGCGAGUGGGCGUGCGGGGGUUGGUUACAAGGGCGCGAACUAUCACCCGAGCGCAGCAAGUGGAAUCGACGAGUUGAAGUCGAACAACAAGAAGCUGUGCGAAUUCGUGAGAUGAUAUCGACCCUGCCGCUGCCGUUGUCCCGCGGCACCAUCGAAUGGAAAUUGAAAUAUUUCUACGAUGCCUGCGUCGACGUGGACGCCGUGAACGCCGAUGGGGAUCGACCUCUGAAAACCAUCAUCUCCGAAUUAGGUGGAUGGCAUCUGUUGCGGAAUUGGAACACCGAAGACUUCGAUUUCAACGGCCUUCUGCGUACGCUGCAUGUGACCUACGGAGUGUCUCCGUAUUUUAAAAUUACCACAGUGCCAAAUCCCAGAGAACCCGGGAACACCAGCAUUGUAAUCUUACCAGCCGGUUUGGGUCUUCCAGAUAAAAGUUAUUAUUACCUAGAGGAUGAAAAGUACAGCAAAGCAUAUGAACAAUUAAUCACCGACGUCAUCGUCCUGCUGGGACAAUCCACAACCGAUACUCAACGGUCCGCGAAGGAUGUAUAUUCUUACGAGCGUCGCUUAGCUGAAAUCAUGCCGAACCGAGAUGAGUUGCGUGAUCCGAUUAGCACCUACAAUCCGAUGAAAGUGUCUGCGUUGAAAUUAUCUGUCCAACAAAUUCUGCCAUUGCAAGACAUUUUAACAGCCAUGUACCCAGACGCAAACAUCAACGAAGAAACUGAAGUAAUCGUGGCUCAACCGGAUUAUUUAGCGAAGUUAUCGCAAUUGGUGUCGUCCACUGAUAGUCAAACUAGAAAUAGCUACAUGAUGUGGACACUUGUGCGCGAAUAUGUCCCAUAUCUUUCGGCUGACUUUCAGAAGGCCAUUGAUAGAUAUCAUUCGGAAUUGUUUGGAGUAAAGAAUCCGAUUGAACGUUGGGAAUUCUGCUCCAGUCUUGUGCAGCGCUUCAUGCCGAUUGCUAUUGAAGCCGUGCUGGAACGCCAGCAAUCGAUGGGCGAUGCCAAGCACGUUGUGAACCAGAUGUUUGAACAAAUUGCCGCACAACUUCGUCAGGAUUUAGACGAUAAGAUGCGCCGUAACGAUAUUACUUCUGAUUUGCAUUCGAAGUUAAAGAAAAAGCUUGAAUUAGUGAAACUUCAUGUUGGAUUGCCGGACGGUGUAUUGAACGCUACCUUUGUGAAAACCUUCUACAACCGCUUGAACAUCAUCCGAUCGAACCUAUUUGAAAACCACAAGAAAGCGAUAGUUUUCGCGAAGAAACGCGAGGAGCAGCUGUUGCGUGAAUCCUCCACCGAGGAUUACCUCAUGGCGGCCAUCACACGAAGGCCGGCCCAAGUUGAGUACGUGCCCAGCGGGAAUGUCGUGGUCGUUCCGAGAGUGCUUCUCACCGCACCGUACUUUGAGUCGAGAUAUCCCAAGUCGAUUAAUUACGCGAGGAUUGGCAAUGACAUUGCAUUCGCCUUGGUCUCCAGCAUCCUACCGUUCGACAGUGGAUGGACGGCGGAUGCUAAAUUGUUGUCGCAGUAUCAUCUCGCCGUCAACGAGUCCCAGAAAGUUAUUGAUAAACCCACACGAUGCUUGACGAAAUUAAUUGAAGAGAAUCAUUACGUGCAGGCAGACUUUGCCUCGCUAUCAGCAUUAAAUACGUAUAAGUAUUUAACUGCUUUGGAAACUUCAUAUAAUAGUAUGGAAACAAGUUUGAUGAAUAAGGAACAUGUUCACAUCCCAUCUCUAGCAGUCUAUGAAGACUCUGACUUGUUUUAUCUCACAAGCCUCCAGGAACUCUGUACCUUGUCGACUGAUCAACAAAAUUUGCAUGACACACUCGUGAAUCACAAGCUGCCAGAAAACGGCAUGUGCAACAAAGCUGGAAGUGGAACGUAUCCAAUGCCUUGACCUUGGCCGUUAGACAAGGAGACGCCGCCCUUGGUGACAAACCCCAUGAUUUCUCUCGAGCAGGAUGUCCGCAAGCCGGAAGUGCCAAUCGGCGGAAGCCACAGAUAGACAACGUUGGUGCCCAGAAGAAGUUCGAGAGUGCCCCAUGAAGUUUGCAAUAUAGCGGAAGUGUUGGAGAUGCGCGUACUUUAAGGCAAGUCUUUACUACUACGGGAAAUGAUAGUCGCAAAUUGUUUUCUUGUUUAAAAAAAUAUGUAUCUAUUGUUUAAUGUUUUCAAUAAAACACAAUGUAUAAUUAUAA
RNA transcript from Dalotia coriaria, 3114 nucleotides. It is a transcript of the gene named protein gone early-like, with no coding region annotated. The record is from RefSeq and is a predicted model, not a curated record. NCBI's taxonomy places the organism in Eukaryota, Metazoa, Arthropoda, Insecta, Coleoptera, Staphylinidae. The transcript has 14 exons.